RNAcentral lists this ribosomal RNA (469 nucleotides) under uncultured bacterium. RNAcentral describes it as "bacterial SSU rRNA". It matches the Rfam family "Bacterial small subunit ribosomal RNA", at positions 30 to 495 of the family's 1533-position model. The record is from RNAcentral.
AUUGAACGCUGGCGGCAUGCCUUACACAUGCAAGUCGAACGGCAGCACGGGGCAACCUGGUGGCGAGUGGCGAACGGGUGAGUAAUGCAUCGGAACGUGCCAUUGAGUGGGGGAUAACGUAGCGAAAGUUGCGCUAAUACCGCAUAUUCUGUGAGCAGGAAAGCAGGGGACCGCAAGGCCUUGCGCUCUUUGAGCGGCCGAUGUCAGAUUAGCUAGUUGGUGAGGUAACGGCUUACCAAGGCGACGAUCUGUAGCGGGUCUGAGAGGAUGAUCCGCCACACUGGAACUGAGACACGGUCCAGACUCCUACGGGAGGCAGCAGUGGGGAAUUUUGGACAAUGGGGGCAACCCUGAUCCAGCAAUGCCGCGUGAGUGAAGAAGGCCCUCGGAUUGUAAAGCUCUUUGUCAGGGAAGAAAAGGCUGUGGCUAAUAUCCACAGCUGCUGACGGUACCUGAAGAAUAAGCACCG